AACGCCACCGGGUCGACCGCGCGGGUCACGCUGAGGUAGUCGCGGAUGGCGGUGCCGUGCCGCCCCUC
Micromonospora nigra is the source of this 68-nucleotide small RNA. It matches the Rfam family "ASdes TB sRNA". Lineage: Bacteria; Bacillati; Actinomycetota; Actinomycetes; Micromonosporales; Micromonosporaceae. The record is from Rfam.